CCGCGAUUUACUGUUUCCUCGCGCCCAACAGAAAUGGGCGACCGCAAGUCUUACUCUCGCCGGCGUUACAAAGAAAGGAAGGAGGAGACCUGAACAGUACAUCCGGAGAAUCCAGCAAAGCAUACUACGGCAUGAACGUGCAAGUGGACAGAAUUAAAACACAUGCCAGAAACACUAAUGGAUUCUAAACAAGAUGCAGUUUCAUUUCCUGAGCCUAUACGUGAUGUUUUUAACUGUUCUCCAGUUAAUAUGUCUCCAUUUCCAGAAAUCUAACAGGAGAAUCUCUGACUGCUUAACAGAUCACCUAAGCUUGCGAUUUGUGCAAUCCUUUCUAGAGUAAGGGCUCCCCGGCUGCUCCCCGGCCACUGUGUACCCAAAGCAGCGGCUGAAAUAGCCCGGAGUCCAACAGCUCAGCGUCAAGCAGCUCGUGGUUUGUACUUACAUCAUUUUUUUUUUCAGAGCAAGAGUGAAAGUUUAUUAAAAAGCGUUAGAACAGUAAGGAAAGGAAAGGAGAGAAAAUAAGGAAAGUACAACUUGGAAGAGGGCCAAGCGGGCGACUUGAGAAAUCAAGUGCCUGUACUUACAUCAUUCUUAACCCUUUCGCUCCUGGAGGGGGCUCAGCGGGAUCAGGGGGCCCCUGAACUUCGGAACACGCAGGACCUGGGUGUGAGAGAAGAGUCCCAAAGCUUGGCGUGAGCAAUGCACUCGCGGAGGGAGAGAGCCCGGGGCUUGCGGGGGGCUCAUCACCCGCUCGUAGACAACGGGCCCCCGCAAUCCCUGCGGGCUCCGCCGCUGCUCUCACCGCUCAAAACGGCAGGUGCAAAAAGCAUUUGGGAGCCGCUUGCCAGCGCGCGGAGGUAAUGCGCUUCCUGUCCAUUUAUCUCAGGAAACCAGUGCAGCCUUCCCUUCGAAACAAAAUUAACCUCUCAUUAGCCAGCCACUCGCUCCCAAGAAGGCCUUAAAAGCUUUACCAGCUCGCUAAUGUAUUUAGGCUUUUCUUCCAGGCAAACGCAGCCGCCGGUCUUGACUGCCAUCGCCCAAGGGGUUCCUCUGGGCUCUCCCGCGAGCCAACAGCCGACCUCUCUCCAGCCUAGUCUGGGAAACUCCAGCCAACCCAGGAUCCCAUUUUGUAGUCCCGGGCAGACCCGAAACCCCUGAAAGAACUCCACUCCAGAAGACGCCAGAACAAGUUCCCACGAAUUUCAUGGGCGCCCUUCACAUGAAAACCUCAGCUCCCCUAUCCUCAAGGAACGGGGAAGGGCGCCGGGGAGGGACUUCGGUGGCCAGCUGUCCCUGGGUCGUGGGCGCUGUUUGCUCUGCGGAGCGCCAGCCCUGCACACAGCGGGUGCGGGAAGCGUUGAUGGGAGGCUGGAGGGCGGGGUGAGCGUAAACUAGGAUCUAGCCGGUUCCAGGCGUGGAGAAUCAAAUGUGGUCCUAGAUCUGUAAGUUGCGAAAAGGGGCUUUUGGGAGCGUCAGAGCUUUCUCACUCCGGUCCCCCGCCGCCUUGAGGCUGGCAGAUUUAUACCCCACAGGUGGAUGGAGACCUAAACAAAACAGUCCCGGCCGCUGCCUGCCGCUCGCCCCCCACGUCCCCCGGGCCCACCGCAAACUUCAACAAAAUAAACAACUCACCACAGGCA
This 1640-nucleotide long non-coding RNA is filed under the name Homo sapiens (human). RNAcentral's name for it is "PREDICTED lncRNA (TCONS_00219042)". Lineage: Eukaryota; Metazoa; Chordata; Mammalia; Primates; Hominidae. The record is from RNAcentral.